GGGAUUGGGGCUCAGCAGUAGAGCGCUCACCUAGCACGUGUGAGGCCCUGGGUUCAAUCCUCAGCACCA
Ictidomys tridecemlineatus (thirteen-lined ground squirrel) is the source of this 69-nucleotide non-coding RNA. NCBI's taxonomy places the organism in Eukaryota, Metazoa, Chordata, Mammalia, Rodentia, Sciuridae. The record is from Rfam.